GCAGUUGGUUCAGAAUGAAUGCGAGCCACAGAGGCUGUCUGCAUAAUGCUGCUGCCUGCCAAGCUGGUUUUGUCCUAGGCAGCUGCCUUUCUCUGAUUUUCCUUUUCCUAGAAGAGGCCUGGAUCAGAAUUCAGCGGGACAAAGCAGGCAGGGGCCAGCUGCCGGACAGACAGCUGGCCUAUAGCACUCUGCAGCAGACUCGGGAGAGGUGAAGGAGGAGAGCCAUGCGUCUGAAACACGACCCUGCUAAGUCGCACUGCUUCUUGACUGAUGGGAGUGCAGAUGCUGUUGUCAUGGACUCGCCAAGCACUGAAAGACCUGCAAAGGAGAUAUUUCAAAGAGCCUGGCCUCCUGCAUCAAUGACAAAGGGGACAACGAGCGAGAACUUUUGCACGUUGUCGUCGACUGCACUGGAGUAAGGGACUGUUCGCUCGCCUCUCAUUUCCUGACCUCAUUCAGAGACAGGGUUUAUG
Molecule: long non-coding RNA, 473 nt
Organism: Oncorhynchus masou masou (cherry salmon)
Lineage: Eukaryota; Metazoa; Chordata; Actinopteri; Salmoniformes; Salmonidae
Exons: 3
Source: RefSeq, a predicted model, not a curated record